AACAGAUCUUGCUUUUGCUGUAUGGCUGCGACCCAGGUGUUGUGGAGGAGGGUAUAUCUGCAGACCGCAAGUGGGGGGCAUAACUUAAUAUGAAGUUGCCAAAUGCGUUGUUGACCUGGGGGAUGCUGUUGCCUGGGUAAAUGCCAACACGGGCCUCUUCUGAGACCGAGUACAAGUCCUCACCCCUGAAUGAUUUGGAAAUACAGGGUGCUGUGCAGAUGAUCAGAGAGGCCUCAACUCUAGAGGAAGAACAAGAAGCUCUCUCCCCAUUCAUGUUUUUGUUUAAUAAUUUUCAAGACACUGAAAAUUCAUGGAUGAAAUAGACAAAAGAGGACUUAGUGAGAAUUUUGAGCUCCUCCAUUAAUUAUUUUUGUUGAUGAAAAUACCUAUCAUCUGUCUUCAAACCAUCAGCUAAUGCUGGUUUGCACACAACACAAGAUCCAGAAAACACAAUAUAGUUUGACAAGACAAAGAGACAAGAAACAUCAGCUGUUUAGCAAUAGUAAACUGGACAGUGUUCUGGAAGUGUUCACCUGGCCAUACAACAUGAUAGGAUGAAACCAAAGCCUACAGAAUCUGGGCAAAGCUGAAUAUACAGUACAUAAAAUGUAAUGUUUUGAAUAUUUGAUUAGGUGAUUAAAUGUUUAAUUGUCUGACUGGCAUAUCAUUUUUAGUUUAUGCAUAUCAUUUUUAGUUUAUGCCAUUAACUUUAAGAUUUUGGGCUACAUUAAUUGACUUUCAAUAAUGUCUGUUGUGCUCAUUUGGACCUGUUCUACUUGUAAUUUAUGCUAUUAAAUCAACUUUUAUGAUAAGUGUUAAUUUAGACCUCAGGUUAUGUAACACUUAUAUUCCUCCCAACAAUGUUAAGUCCAUAACCACGUCAUUACUCUAGAAUAAAACAUGUGCUUGUUCCAGGCACCCUGGAACAUUUUUUAUUUCUGCAACAGGCUAUAGAAAAUUCAACACUUCCAGUUACCAGUUUCAACUUUCUAGAACAAUGCUGUUAAAUUGAACAGUGCAAGUCAAA
Molecule: long non-coding RNA, 1027 nt
Organism: Esox lucius (northern pike)
Lineage: Eukaryota; Metazoa; Chordata; Actinopteri; Esociformes; Esocidae
Source: Ensembl